This 330-nucleotide ribosomal RNA is filed under the name uncultured Actinomycetes bacterium. Its description in RNAcentral is "bacterial SSU rRNA". It matches the Rfam family "Bacterial small subunit ribosomal RNA", at positions 28 to 351 of the family's 1533-position model. The record is from RNAcentral. Lineage: Bacteria; Bacillati; Actinomycetota; Actinomycetes.
GACGAACGCUGGCGGCGCGCUUAACACAUGCAAGUCGAGCGAGAACCAGGGCUUCGGCCCUGGGGACAGCGGCGAACGGGUGAGUAACACGUGAGUAAUCUGCCCUCGGCACCGGGAUAGCCCGGGGAAACCCGGAUUAAUACCGGAUAGCCUCCGAAGCCUUCGGGCGUCGGAGCAAAGGUAGCUUUGGCCUCUGGCCGAGGAUGAGCUCGCGGCGGAUUAGCUUGUUGGUGGGGUAAUGGCCCACCAAGGCGACGAUCCGUAGCUGGUCUGAGAGGACGAUCAGCCACACUGGGACUGAGACACGGCCCAGACUCCUACGGGUGGCUG